AGAAUCAACGCUGGCGGCGUGCCUAACACAUGUAAGUCGAACGAGAAAGUGGAGCAAUCCAUUAGUAAAGUGGCGCACGGGUGAGUAACACGUGACUAACCUACCCUUGAGUGGGGGAUAACCUAGAGAAAUCUGGGCUAAUACCGCAUAAUACCUUCGGGUCAAAGGAGCAAUUCGCUUAAGGAGGGGGUCGCGGCCGAUUAGUUAGUUGGCGGGGUAAUGGCCCACCAAGACUAUGAUCGGUAUCCGGCCUGAGAGGGCGCACGGACACACUGGAACUGAAACACGGUCCAGACUCCUACGGGAGGCAGCAGUGGGGAAUUUUGCGCAAUGGGGGAAACCCUGACGCAGCAACGCCGCGUGGAGGAUGAAGCCCCUUGGGGCGUAAACUCCUUUCGAUCGGGACGAUAAUGACGGUACCGAGAGAAGAAGCCCCGGCUAACUUCGCGCCAGCAGCCGC
This 460-nucleotide ribosomal RNA is filed under the name uncultured bacterium. RNAcentral's name for it is "SSU rRNA". It matches the Rfam family "Bacterial small subunit ribosomal RNA", at positions 26 to 518 of the family's 1533-position model. The record is from RNAcentral.